Non-coding RNA from Impatiens glandulifera, 73 nucleotides. The record is from the annotation of a RefSeq genome assembly. NCBI's taxonomy places the organism in Eukaryota, Viridiplantae, Streptophyta, Magnoliopsida, Ericales, Balsaminaceae.
GCCGUUUUAGCUCAGUUAGUAGAGCACAUGGCUUUUAACCUUGUGGUUGUGGGUUCGAUUCCCAUAUAUGGCC